Molecule: long non-coding RNA, 1241 nt
Organism: Myotis davidii
Lineage: Eukaryota; Metazoa; Chordata; Mammalia; Chiroptera; Vespertilionidae
Exons: 2
Source: RefSeq, a predicted model, not a curated record
GGGGUGGAUGUGGCCGAACCCCGCCGCGCAGAGGUCAGGACGUCCUGCAUGUUUCCUGAAACAGUGACGCCCGCGGCGCGACAGCCGGGAGGCGGCGUGGGAAAGGGCCUGGGUACUGUCCCCGCUUAGCACUGACCCGCUCCGUGACUGUAUGUUUCCGAUUUCAGGUGUAGGUAUACUUUAAGGUUAAUAAUAAGCUACAAUAGGUGCUGUGUAAUAAUCUUAAGUUACGGAAUGAAACAUUUCCUUUUACUAAAUGUGGGUUUUGAAAAGUGCUUGAAUUAGAAUAAGCAAGAAAAAAAAUGGUCACUUAGGUAACAAUUUCUAAAAGCCAUGUAAUGUAUACAGGGUGGGGCAAAAGUAGUUUCCAGUUACUUAUAUGGCAAAUAAUACAAUCAUUAAGAAUACAUGUAUACAAGAAUAAACUUUCGAGUAGACCUUUUCCCCACCCUAUAUACAUGCUGGAAUAAUAAAAAUUCAACUACAGUAUUAUGUGAAAAUCAUAUUGCCCACUUUGCUCCUAUGCCAAAAGAAACGGCAUAAAAACAGGCAAAACAAAAAUUUUUAAUUUGGGAUUUUGCUUCAGGUUUUGCUCUCUUUCAGGGAAAAUUGCUGAGACUUUGGAGGGGUGAAAGGAUGAGGAAACCCUUUAACUUCAGAUGCAAUUUAAGAUGGGAAAUAUUAUGGUCUUCCAUGAAUUCUUAGGCAGGGGGGAGAUCAGUCUCUGGAACCAAACCGGCAGUGUCUCCGAGGUGUGCCUGUACCUUCUUUUCCUGUGGCACAGCGAUUGCCUCAGUUUCAGAAGCCCUUUGGGUACCUACUGAUGGGAAGAAGGAGAGAACUACGGACUUUCUCUGCAGGUUUACAAAUUCUAGUUUGAUUUAUUUCAGUUACAAGUGACAAAAAUUAUGAUUUAAAAUGGCUUCUGCUUAAAUAAAAAGGGAGUUUAUUGGCUGUUACUGACAGUCCCGGGAGUAGCCUGGGCUCUGGGCACUCAAACAGUGUAUGGAAAUCAGGCAGCCUGUUUCUCCUCAUCGCCGGACUUGGCUUUCUCUGCGUUAGCUUCGAUCUUGGGCAAGCUCUUCCUACAGAGCGGCAAAAUGGUUCCUAGCAACACAUGGCAUGCGUCCAUCAGAAUUUAUUUUUCUGAGAGUUUCUGCCAGUGUCUGAGGUUCUGUUAAAAAUCGAUUGGUUUUGUUGGGUCAUGUGUAUCCCUUAAAUAAACACUCACACCAAGGGUA